Molecule: ribosomal RNA, 373 nt
Filed under: uncultured bacterium
Lineage: Bacteria
Description: bacterial SSU rRNA
Rfam family: Bacterial small subunit ribosomal RNA
Source: RNAcentral
AAUCAACGCUGGCGGCGUGCCUCAGACAUGCAAGUCGAACGAGAAAGUUCCCUUCGGGGAGCGAGUAAAGUGGCGCACGGGUGAGUAACACGUAGGUAAUCUACCUUCGGGUGGGGAAUAACCCAGGGAAACUUGGGCUAACACCGCAUAAUGCAGCGGCACCACAUGGUGACAGUUGUUAAAGCGGGGGAUUUUAGGACCUCGCGCCUGAAGAGGAGCCUGCGGCGGAUUAGCUUGUUGGAAGGUAACGGCUUACCAAGGCGACGAUCCGUAGCCGGCCUGAGAGGGCGGUCGGCCACACUGACACUGACAUACGGGUCAGACUCCUACGGGAGGCAGCAGUCGGGAAUUUUGGGCAAUGGGCGAAAGCCUG